This 501-nucleotide ribosomal RNA is filed under the name uncultured bacterium. RNAcentral describes it as "partial 16S ribosomal RNA". It matches the Rfam family "Bacterial small subunit ribosomal RNA", at positions 899 to 1397 of the family's 1533-position model. The record is from RNAcentral.
ACUCAAAUGAAUUGACGGGGGCCCGCACAAGCGGUGGAGUAUGUGGCUUAAUUCGAUGCAACGCGAAGAACCUUACCUAGGCUUGACAUGCAUCUCUAAGUCGGUGAAAGCCGGCGAGUUCCGCAAGGAAUAAUUUGCACAGGUGCUGCAUGGCUGUCGUCAGCUCGUGUCGUGAGAUGUUGGGUUAAGUCCCGCAACGAGCGCAACCCUUGUGAGCUGUUGCCAAACUUACCGUUUGGCUCUCUGCUCAGACUGCCCUGUGAAACGGGGAGGAAGGUGAGGAUGACGUCAAGUCAGCAUGGCCCUUACGCCUAGGGCUGCACACGUACUACAAUGCCCAGUACAGAAAGAGCCGAACCAGCAAUGGCUAGGAAAUCAAUAAAACUGGGCCCAGUUCGGAUUGUGGGCUGCAACUCGCCCGCAUGAAGCCGGAAUCGCUAGUAAUGGCGCAUCAGCUACGGCGCCGUGAAUACGUUCCCGGGCCUUGUACACACCGCCCGU